This is a long non-coding RNA of Brassica rapa (field mustard), 7263 nucleotides long. RefSeq lists it as uncharacterized. NCBI's taxonomy places the organism in Eukaryota, Viridiplantae, Streptophyta, Magnoliopsida, Brassicales, Brassicaceae. The record is from RefSeq and is a predicted model, not a curated record.
UUUAAAAGUUAACAUCGACAAAUAUUUAAAUAAUUAACAUAUGGAUGUAUAAUAUUACAAUAUUAAAUUAUAUCUAUUCAAUUUAUACUAUUUAUAAAUCCAAUGAAUCAUCUAUUGUUUAAAUUCAACUAUUGAUAGUCCAAUAAAAAUUUCUGGUAGACUCAAAAUUAUAGAUGAAAUGAUUUUAUAAAUUAACAUAUUGUUAGUCGUCAAGAGUUGAUUACAAUGACGUUCAAUAAGUUGUUCCUGGUUCAUAAAUGAUGUGUUUACAUACUGGUUAUCCAAACAGGAAUUUUAGGCGUAUUGUUGUAAUUUAGCGUCGAUUAGUUAGGCUUAAUAAUGAUAAAAUUAUAGAUUAAAUGUAACAUGAUUUUUUAGGAAUAUGUCCAUUUUAAAAAAAAAUCACACAUGAAUCAAAGUCGUGACUUCUAUUUUAAUAUAUAAGAUAUAUAAGAUACAACCACCCAUAAAUUUCUAGAAUAAUUACAUUUGCCAUUAAAUAUUUUCUUAGUCGACCCACAUUUUCUAAAGCUAUCUAACAACUUAACUUUAUACAUGAACUCAUUAACUUUAUACAUAAAGAAAACCAAACUCUGUGUUUAAGAUUAUACUCAUUAGGUCGGAAGUCGUCUCCAUCUUCGAUGAUUCAACGUCACUGUCUUAUCCUUUCCCUGAAAAAACAAAAUUCCUUACUCUCAACUUUUUACCUUCCAUAUCUCUUUAUCUCCGUCUCUUGUUUGCGCUCUGUUCAACGUUUCUAUACAAUGAAUCUUCAAUUUUCAUUAAAGCCAUUAACUCUCCGUCUCCCUUCCAUUACAAUUAAAGCUUAAUGCUAUCAAAACCGAAAUAACACCUCAAACCCUAUAAAUAGAAGAGGGUUGAGAGUGGAAUCAAGCUUCACCAGCACGCUUGGAGAGGUCGAAAAUUGUGACACAUCAUCACUCUACACAAUAUUGAGAAUGGAGAAAAUUGAGAAUAAUUUAAUUUCAUUCAUAGUGAUGAUGAUUAUUUAUAACUUUAACCUUUUAAUCGUACCUUCAGAAUAUUGAGAAUAAUUUAAUUUAUUCGGGUGACUAUGAGAGAUCUCGAAAGUCAUUGAGAUGUUGAUUGACGAGUUUGCCAGAUCCCCUUGAGCAGAUCAUCGAAAGGUUUGUAAUUUGAAUGACUUUUGCGUUUGAUUAAGUGUUUUCAAUUUUUAGGAUCAAUUAAUGGAAUCAAUUUCAUCUUCUCCAUUAGUCCAUUUUACUUCUGAAUUCAGUUUAUACAACGCUUGAGAAGAAGCAUUGAUUUGGUUUUGGGGUUACAUUCUUUUUGUCUAAUUUUGUAAUUUGGUUAAUGUGGUGUUAGGCUGGAGCAGGAAUCUGGGUUCUUUUAAUAUAUUAAGUACUUUGAGGAGAAAGGUAUUUCUGGUGAGUGGGAUGAACUUGAGAUGUAUAUGUCAAGGUUCAAUAAGGUCUAUUAUUUCGAGAUAGGGGCUGUUUGUUUCACCAUUUGUCAUCUCCAUCCAAAUGAUUCAUUUGUAUGAUCUAUUCAGAUGAUCCAUUCAGAUUUUUGUGAUUGUUUGUUUGUCCAUCCACAUGGCUCAUCUAGAUAAAUCAUCUAAAUGGAUCUUAUGUUUGUUUCUUUAUUUUCAUUUCCAUUCAAAUGAGUUUAGUAAACAAAUUACCAAAAUACCCUUGUGUUGGUUUAAUCAGAUGUUUGAUAUUAAUUUUAACUAUAUAUUACAUUUAAUUAUUUAGUUUAAUAUAUUUACAUUAUAAUUAUUUCAAAAUUAACGAUUUUCUUUUGCGAAAAAAAGAUUUUUUGGUUUUAGCGAGAAAACACAUUUUUUUGGUUUUGGCGAGAAAACAAGAUUUUUUGGUUCUGGCGGGAAAAUUUUUUUUUUUGGUUUUGGCGGGAAAACACGUUUUUGCGUUUUUGGCGGAAAAAUGUGUUUUUGCCGGGAAAACGCGUUUUUGCGGUUCUGGGGGGGGAAACAUGUUUUUGCGAUUUUCGCGGGAAAAUGAAAUUUUUCGGUUUUGGCGAGAAAAUGAGAUCUUUCGUUAUUGGCGGGAAACGCGUUUUGCGGUUUUGGCAGAAAAAUACGUUUUUGGCGGGAAAACGCGUUUUUUGCGGUUCUGGAGGGAAACACGUUUUUGCGAUUUUCGCGCGAAAAUGAAUUUUUUCGGUUUUGGCGAGAAAAUGAGAUCUUUCGUUAUUGGCGGGAAAACGCGUUUUGCGGUUGUGGCGGGAAAACGCGUUUUUGCGAUUUUGGCGAGAAAACAUGUUUUUGUGGUUUUGACGGGAAAACGCGUUUUGGCGGAAAAACAUGUUUUUGCAGUUUUGGCGGGGAAACACGGUUCCCCGUUUUUGGCGGGAAAAUGGGUUUUUGCGUUUUUUUGCGGUUUUUGCGGGAAAACGAGAUCUUUCGGUUUUCGCGGGAAAACGAGAUUUUUCGGCUUUGGCGGAAAAAACAAGAUUUUCGGUUUCAGCGGGAAAACACGAUUUUUUUUGUUUUGGUGGAAAAAUACGUUUUUGCAAUUUUCGCGGGAAAACGUGUUUUUGUGUUUUGACGGAAAGUUGUGUUUUGGGGUGUUAGCGUGAAAACAUGUUUUUUUGUGAUUUUGGCAUGAAAACACGUUUUUCGGUUUUUGCGGAAAAAUACGUUUUUUCGGUUUUCGCGGAAAAACACGUUUAUGUAAUUUUGACGGGAAAACACGUUUUUACAAUUUUGAUGGGAAAUUGUAUUUUUGGGGUUUUGGCGUGAAAAAAUAGUUUUUAGGUUUUUACGGGAGAACGUGUUUUUAUAGUUUUGUCAGUUUUCGUAUGUGACAAAAAUGAUAUUAUGUUUAGGUUUGUAAUUUGUGAACUACAUUAGGAGCAUAAUAGACAUUAUACCAUUUUGAAUGAACUAUCUCUAUUCAAAUGAUCUAAAUUGAUUCAGCUGAAUGGAUUUUAAAAUUAAGUCUAAAUUUCCAAAAGUCAUCCGGAUGAUCUAUCUGAAUGAGUUGCACUUUUAGUAGCUAAACAAACAAAACUCUCAUCUUCAUCCAAAUGACUCAUCCAGAUGGAGAAACAAACAGGUCCAUAGUAUGGGAAUUUUUUUUAGUUUCGGAAGCAAAGGUAUCUUGAAGGUCCAGAUCAGUAACAAUUUGUUCUUUUAACUGUUUUUUUCGAAUAUAUGGUUUUCCUAUGUUAUUCCUUGAAUUAAUGAUAUUGUUUGUAUGUUUAUUUCAUAAAUGACAGAACAAAAUCUGCCUAUGUUAUGCCUUGAAUUAAUGAUAUUGUUUGUAUGUUUAUUUCAUAAAUGACAGAACAAAAUCUGCUGCAAUAUUAGCCAAAGACUUGAAACUGUUGCGACUUUUAACGAAGAAUUGAACAAAGAGAUCACUCAGCUUCUGACUCUAGAUAAAUUUAGGUAAAUUUUGUUUUUGCCUCAAUAUAGUUGAAUUUUCUGAAAUGCAUGCACUUAAGUGUUUUAGUGUGUGUGUGUUUGAUAACUCCACAGGGGGAAGAGCAAUUGUCAAAAUAUGGUGAUACAAAAUCAGCCAUGAAUAUGAUGUAUACUAAGUUGAAGAAACUGAUCGAUGAAAAUCUUUUGUUUGAUGAGAAGCUUUCCUUCGCCAUCGGCAAGUAGGGGUGGGCAUUUCGGUUUAGUUUCGGGUUCGGUUUGGAUUCGGUUUGGUUUGGGUAAUUUGGGUUUUAUAAAACUCAAACCAAUUAAAACCAAAGUAGCUUUGGUUUGGGUUCGGUUUGGGUUUAAUUUGGUUCGGUUCAGUUCGGUUCGGUUUAGAUUUAGUUCGGUUUACAUUAUUAUGGUCUAGUUAUGUUCGGUGUAGUUCGGGUUGGUUAUAAAAUAUGAAGGCAUCAGUUUUAUAUUUUUAUUAAAAUAUAAUCAACUCAUAAACGAUAGAUUGAGAAUAUAAAAACUUAUGCUACAUGAUUUUAUAUAUAAUAGUAUUAUUUGAAUCGUAUUUCUAAUUUUUUUUAAAGAUAUGAAAGUUAUGAAAAAAUGAAAAACAAAACUUUAACUAAAAUUUGCAAUAUGUUAAUACACAUAUAUAUCAUAUAUAUUUUUACUAUAUAUAUAUAUAUAUUGGAUUAUCGGUUUGGUUCGGUUUAAACCCAAACCAAACCAAACCGUUCGGGUUGAGUAAAACAUGAACCAAUUGGGUUACAUAAAGAGCACGGUUUGGUUUGGUUCGGUUUAACUUCGGUUUGGUUGGUUCGGUUCGGUUCGGUUUGGGUUUUUUGCCCACCCCUAUCGGCAAGUAUUCCCGCCUGUGAACUUUGAUCAAUCAAAGGUUUUACAAAGUCUUGAUCACACGAGGCAAAAAAUACCAGUGAUAGUGCAUGAUGAAGAUGAGAAACUCUAACUCCUUUGUAAAGGACACGAUAAGUAAGUUAACAUGCGACUUCAGAAACAAACUUUUAACAUACGUAAACAUAUCCUUUGAACCUAUUUUAUUCCACUUGGUUCUUUCACCAGUGUUAUGUUUAAAAGAGUUUUCAAGAAAUUUGGAGAACUCAUGCUUGAUCAUUAGUAUAUCAUAUACACCUGAGAUUGGUAAUAUAAUACAUUUAAAUCGUAACUUCGGUAGCCUUUUAUAGAAUGUUACAGAACGCUAUUGCUAGCUUUAUUUGAAACUCAUGUUGGAUGUGAUUUUGAGUUGAGCAAAUCUUUUUUCUCUAGAUUUCUGAUUCUGGCAGCAGAAGCAAUAUACCACAAGUUGGCACAUUUAUAUUUAAUAAAUCUGUUGUAAUCUGUGUUUGAACCAGGUUAAAGUUGGAUGCAUGAGGCAAGAAGCAACAGUGCUUAGUAUUUGACAUUAAUGCAAACAUUUGUUGUGUAAAGUACAAUACUAGCUCAAGCAAUUUCAUUGUGACAUAUACUUUCAUUAUUUCACCAACUUUCCAUCUCACAUUGAUCCUUAAUGCAUGUCCAGCUACCCGAUCAUGGUCAGUUUACAACUACCACACAUUGUCACAUCGACUCUUUCAAAGCUAUAUUGGACAAAAAAAACUGUUCUUCCAAAGCCCAAAAAAAACACAAAAAAAUCAGAACACUAGACAAUCCAUUAUUAUAUAUAUAAACAUCUCCUUUCAUAACCCGAACUCAAACCUUUACAUAUCAAAUUCUCAGCUAAUCGACUUCACAACUUCGGGAGACUACUGAGGCCGUGGCAAAGCCGGAUAAAGGUUCCAUAGGAGAAGAGAACAAGUUGGUGCCACUCAUUCAUUGUAAGUGAUCCUGAACCAUUUGCAUUCCCAUUCCCAUUCUUAAGUAAAUAUUUUGCUUCUAAUCACUUCUCUUCUUUUGUAGUAACAAUACUACUGAGAAGACAAGUUUCAUGAUGAAAUCUACUAAAAAUGAAAGCUUCAAACUCAAGUGACUAUCUGCGGACGCAUAAGCCAGAAAAGGAGGGAUAACAAGCAACCGAGUUACAUCAGUGAGAAAGACUGGGAAACAAUUCUUGCGAAUUGGUCAACAGAUGAAGCAAAAGCCAAGAGCUAAUCAGCAGCUGCGUCUCGCACUUCUGCUCCUCCAGGGCUGAAGAUGCACGUCCAUGAUGCAUGACCACACACCUUUACAAAUAUUGAGUAUCGUAUGGUCAACUUUCCAUCUCUUUUUACUUUACCUUUUUUAACUGCUAAUUGUCUAACUUUCUGUUAUUCCCUUUGUUGUAGAUAAUUGAUGAAGGUUUGGAGGAACCACUUCCAUAUCCCGACUUUGUGAGGAAGGCUCACAUCCGCAAAGAUGGGACCUUCAUUGACGAACGAGCAAAGGCACUGAUCUUGGAGGUUGAGCAAGAGGUUGAAGAGAUGAUGUAAGACGGAUCUCCAGUUGGAGAUAGCCAUUCUGCCUCAACUGCUGGCACAGCAACUUCAAAGCACCGUGUCCUAAACCAAGGAUACAUCAAGGUAAUAAUCUCUCAUGCUCAUUAUCUUUGUUUUUUCUUACUCUUGUAUUGAACUUGUAACAAGAUCAGACUGCAUUUUUAUGACUGAAUGUUAUAUGUGCUAAUGCUAUUUUUGUCCUUUUCAGCUUGUACAAACACGCAAGGGCACCAUUUAUGGACUUGGUAGUGUUCAAUUCAAGAACAGAUGUCUUUCUGAAUCGGUCCCUGCUACACUCAAGCGAAGCCUGGACAUGGAGAUGCGGGUUUGUGGCUUGGAGACCCCUCACUUAGGAAGUCAAGUCUGAUUUUCAUGCUUUCAAGACUUACUUCAAAGAAGAGAUGACUAAAACUCAAUAAACUCUCAACAUGAUUCUGCAACUUCCACAGCCUCAAGCUUCCAAUCCUCAUGCCUCUACUGCACAACCAACUCAAGCUCAACGUCAAUCUCAGUCACAAGCUCAACCUCAAGGUCAAGGUUAGGCUCCAUCUCCAGCUCAGGAUCAGUCACAAGCUCCAGGUGAUUCACAACCUCAACAUCUCCUCACCAAUAACCAUUCUGAAUUAGAUAGGUGGUGCAAUGCAAAACUCAGUUUGUAGGUCAAGAUAUGGCUGUUUCUUGCCCAAAAACAAGAUUAUGUAUUAUGUUUUAAUGUUUUGAACCUUUUGAAUGUUUGAAUCUUUUGAACCUUUUGAGCUUUAAGAAGCUCAAUGUAAUAUAAAUUUGCUUUCUGUUUUUUUUUUUAAAAAAAAAUCUAAUUAACUUUUUUUUUAAAUCGUUGAAAUAUCUAUUCACGGAAAAAAAAGUUUAAAUCAUAGCAAAACAAACAAAAGAGACGAAAACAAUCAUCUCUGUUUCGUGGCAAUAUGCGACAAUAUAAUCGUAGCAAAUUUGUGGUAACUUGCCACAAAAACAACCAUCACUAUUUUUUAGCAACUUUUCCAUGAAAUCAUCGUGUCAAAACCGUAGCAACUUGCCACAUAAUAUUUCGUAGCAAAACCGUUUCAAAAUGGUACUAUUUUGCUACGAACCAAAAAUUACUACGAUCGUAUAGCUACGAUUUGAAAAUCAUGCUUGAUAUUUCGUGGCAAAGCCUUCAUUUAGUUACGAAAAUUCACCAUAGCCACGAAUACUGACCGUAGCUAUUUGCGUUUUUUUUACUACUGAAUAAUUAAAAACUAAAAGAAAAAAAUAUUACUCAUAAGAGACACGAAAAAAAGUCUAGAAAUUAAUCAACCAAGCGUAUUUAGAAUGGAAUAGUUGUUCUUUAUUCCUUGGCGCUAGCUUGUCCAUGUGAACAUAUCUGAUCCUUCAACGAAUUUUCACGGGGCAAACUUAUAUCAUCAUUAUUAUCAAGCAUUAUUUAGUCGACACCUGAUCUCACAC